Molecule: ribosomal RNA, 300 nt
Filed under: Aeromonas hydrophila
Lineage: Bacteria; Pseudomonadati; Pseudomonadota; Gammaproteobacteria; Aeromonadales; Aeromonadaceae
Description: bacterial SSU rRNA
Rfam family: Bacterial small subunit ribosomal RNA
Source: RNAcentral
CUAAUACGUAUCAACUGUGACGUUACUCGCAGAAGAAGCACCGGCUAACUCCGUGCCAGCAGCCGCGGUAAUACGGAGGGUGCAAGCGUUAAUCGGAAUUACUGGGCGUAAAGCGCACGCAGGCGGUUGGAUAAGUUAGAUGUGAAAGCCCCGGGCUCAACCUGGGAAUUGCAUUUAAAACUGUCCAGCUAGAGUCUUGUAGAGGGGGGUAGAAUUCCAGGUGUAGCGGUGAAAUGCGUAGAGAUCUGGAGGAAUACCGGUGGCGAAGGCGGCCCCCUGGACAAAGACUGACGCUCAGGU